Long non-coding RNA from Macaca mulatta (Rhesus monkey), 305 nucleotides. RefSeq lists it as uncharacterized. Lineage: Eukaryota; Metazoa; Chordata; Mammalia; Primates; Cercopithecidae. The record is from RefSeq and is a predicted model, not a curated record.
GAAGGUUAACCUUUCUACCUUAAUUUUUUUGAUUUUGAAGGUUCUUUUUACCUUAAUUAUUUUUUGAAUCAAUGGAGACCAUUGCAAGACUCCGCUGUCGUAACCCAUCUUUCCUCACCUCCCUCGGUGAUAGUCCCCGCUGACAAUUUAAAGAUUUGGUAUCCUAAUGAAGAAGAUGCAGUCAUCAUGUGUCAUCUUGGAAGGAGAGAGUGAAUCCUCACCAGACCCUGAAUCUAUUGAUGCCUUGCUAUUUGAUGUCCCAGCUUCCAGAGUGUCAGAAAUAAACUUCUAUUAUUUAUAAAUUA